RNAcentral lists this ribosomal RNA (974 nucleotides) under uncultured organism. RNAcentral's name for it is "bacterial SSU rRNA". It matches the Rfam family "Bacterial small subunit ribosomal RNA", at positions 23 to 969 of the family's 1533-position model. The record is from RNAcentral.
CUCAGAAUGAACGCUGGCGGCGUGCUUACACAUGCAAGUCGAACGAGAAAUCUUUAGCUUGCUAGAGAGAGUAAAGUGGCGCACGGGUGAGUAACGCGUGGGUAAUCUGCCUCCGAAUCGGGGAUAACAUUGCGAAAGCGAUGCUAAUACCGGAUAAAAUCUGGUUGGCUUAGGUGAACCGGAUCAAAGGUGGUCUCUUUAUAAAAGCUACCGUUUGGAGAUGAGCUCGCGUACCAUUAGCUAGUUGGUGAGGUAAAGGCUCACCAAGGCGACGAUGGUUAGCUGGUCUGAGAGGAUGAUCAGCCACACCGGAACUGGAACACGGUCCGGACUCCUACGGGAGGCAGCAGUGAGGAAUUUUGCGCAAUGGGGGAAACCCUGACGCAGCAACGCCGCGUGAGUGAUGAAGGCUUUCGGGUCGUAAAGCUCUGUCAGGUGGGAAGAACCCACCAAGUGUUAAGACCACUUGGUGCUGACGGUACCACCGAAGGAAGCACCGGCUAACUCCGUGCCAGCAGCCGCGGUAAUACGGGGGGUGCGAGCGUUAUUCGGAAUCAUUGGGCGUAAAGGGCGCGCAGGCGGUUUUGUAAGUCAGAUGUGAAAUCCCGGGGCUUAGCCCCGGAAGUGCAUAUGAAACUAUGAGACUUGAGUAUGGGAGAGGGAAGCGGAAUUCCUGGUGUAGCGGUGAAAUGCGUAGAUAUCAGGAGGAACACCGGUGGCGAAGGCGGCUUCCUGGACCAAUACUGACGCUGAGGCGCGAAGGCGUGGGGAGCGAACAGGAUUAGAUACCCUGGUAGUCCACGCAGUAAACGUUGAUCACUAGGUGUAGCGGGUAUUGACCCCUGCUGUGCCGGAGUUAACGUAUUACGUGAUCCGCCUGGGGAGUACGAUCUCAAGAUUAAAACUCAAAGGAAUUGACGGGGGCCCGCACAAGCGGUGGAGCAUGUGGUCUCAUUCGACGCAACGCGAAGAAC